UGGGGAAUUUUGGACAAUGGGGGCAACCCUGAUCCAGCCAUGCCGCGUGCGGGAAGAAGGCCUUCGGGUUGUAAACCGCUUUUAGUCGGGAAGAAAAGGCAAGGGUUAACACCUCUUGUUCUUGACGGUACCGGCGGAAUAAGCACCGGCUAACUACGUGCCAGCAGCCGCGGUAAUACGUAGGGUGCGAGCGUUAAUCGGAAUUACUGGGCGUAAAGCGUGCGCAGGCGGUUUGGUAAGUCUGAUGUGAAAGCCCCGGGCUCAACCUGGGAAUGGCAUUGGAAACUGGCAUGCUCGAGUGCGGCAGAGGGGGGUGGAAUUCCGCGUGUAGCAGUGAAAUGCGUAGAGAUGCGGAGGAACACCGGUGGCGAAGGCAGCCCCCUGGGCCGACACUGACGCUCAGGCACGAAAGCGUGGGGAGCAAACA
RNAcentral lists this ribosomal RNA (427 nucleotides) under uncultured bacterium. RNAcentral describes it as "bacterial SSU rRNA". It matches the Rfam family "Bacterial small subunit ribosomal RNA", at positions 355 to 774 of the family's 1533-position model. The record is from RNAcentral.